Molecule: non-coding RNA, 30 nt
Filed under: Mus musculus (house mouse)
Lineage: Eukaryota; Metazoa; Chordata; Mammalia; Rodentia; Muridae
Source: RNAcentral
UGGUAUAAGAUCAGCCAGACAGGACUCUGC